RNAcentral lists this ribosomal RNA (329 nucleotides) under uncultured eukaryote. RNAcentral's name for it is "partial 18S ribosomal RNA". It matches the Rfam family "Eukaryotic small subunit ribosomal RNA", at positions 1470 to 1796 of the family's 1831-position model. The record is from RNAcentral.
CCCUUAGAUGUUCUGGGCCGCACGCGCGCUACACUGACGGAUUCAACGAGCUUACAACCUUGGCCGAAAGGUCUGGGUAAUCUCCAAAAUCCGUCGUGAUGGGGAUAGAUUAUUGCAAUUAUUAAUCUUCAACGAGGAAUGCCUAGUAAGCGCAAGUCAUCAGCUUGCGUUGAUUACGUCCCUGCCCUUUGUACACACCGCCCGUCGCUACUACCGAUUGAAUGAUUUAGUGAGGACUUCGGACUGGGACCGAUGCGGCUUUCGGGCUGCGUCGGUAUUCUGGAAAGAUGUCCAAACUGUAUCAUUUAGAGGAAGUAAAAGUCGUAACA